RNAcentral lists this ribosomal RNA (585 nucleotides) under uncultured marine bacterium. Its description in RNAcentral is "bacterial SSU rRNA". It matches the Rfam family "Bacterial small subunit ribosomal RNA", at positions 905 to 1498 of the family's 1533-position model. The record is from RNAcentral.
AUGAAUUGACGGGGACCCGCACAAGUAGUGGAGCAUGUGGUUUAAUUCGAAGAUACGCGCAGAACCUUACCAACACUUGACAUGUUCGUCGCGACUCUAAGAGAUUAGAAUUUUCGGUUCGGCCGGACGAAACACAGGUGCUGCAUGGCUGUCGUCAGCUCGUGUCGUGAGAUGUUGGGUUAAGUCCCGCAACGAGCGCAACCCUCACUUUUAGUUGCCAUCAUUUAGUUGGGCACUCUGAAAGAACUGCCAGUGAUAAGCUGGAGGAAGGUGGGGAUGACGUCAAGUCCUCAUGGCCCUUACGUGUUGGGCUACACACGUGCUACAAUGGCAUUUACAAUAGGAAGCAAAACGGCAACGUAGAGCAAAUCCUAAAAAAAUGCCUCAGUUCGGAUUGUACUCUGCAACUCGAGUACAUGAAGCUGGAAUUACUAGUAAUCGCGGAUCAGCGCGCCGCGGUGAAUACGUUCCCGGGUCUUGUACACACCGCCCGUCACACCAUGGGAGUUGGUUCUACCUUAAGGCAAAGCUUAAAACCUUUGACCACGGUAUAGUCAGCGACUGGGGUGAAGUCGUAACAAGGUA